This 382-nucleotide unclassified non-coding RNA is filed under the name Melitaea cinxia (Glanville fritillary). RNAcentral's name for it is "misc RNA ENSMCXG00005018325.1". The record is from RNAcentral. Lineage: Eukaryota; Metazoa; Arthropoda; Insecta; Lepidoptera; Nymphalidae.
AUCAUGGUUUUAGGUUUCCAACGAAUAUUUUAAUAGAAGAUGAAUGGGUAGCUGCUUUACGACUGACCCGAAAUGAACUACAACGACAGCCAUCCUCAUCUAGUUGGACCUACCGGAUGAGUCUAAAUCGAGCCUUAACCAAGAUUCAAUCUUUGAUACACCUAGAAAACAUAAACUAAGAGAUAAAUUAAAAAAACAGGAACUUAAUUUAAAAAAAAAAUGUAAAAAUAAAAUCAAUUUAUUACAGCAAAGAGUUAGACGUCUUUAAAGCAGGAACUUGCCCCUCAGAGGUAUCAUCAAUUACUUAAAAACGCAAGUUUUCAUUGACACAGAUUUAUAUAAUUAAAUAAAUCAAAACACGGCUACAAUAGAUUUAUGUAAC